CCCAUAUUCAUGGAUAGGCAGAAUUAACAUUGUUAAAAUGGCUAUACUUCCAAAAACAAUGUACAGAUUCAGUAUAAUCCGAAUCAAAAUACCAAUGAUCUUCUUCACACAAAAAUCAAUCACAAAAAUCCUUGAAGAAACAUAAGGUCAACAUUCCAACAUGUAGGCACAGGCAAUGACUUUCUCAAUAGGAUUCCUAAAGGAAAUAAUACCAAGAGUUAUUAAAUGGGAAGACAUCAAAUUAAAAAGCUUCUGCAUAGCAAAGGAAACAAGAAUGUGAAGAGAGAACCCACAGGAUGGGAGAAAAAUCUUUGCUAGCUAUUCUUUUGACACAGGAUUAAUAUCCACAAUAUGUAAAGAACUCAAAGAAGUUCACACACACACACACACACAAACACACACACGCCAAUUAAUAAAUGAGGAAAUGAAUGACAGACACUUUUUUAAAAUAUUUAUUUUGUAGUUGUAGUUGGACACAAUACAUUCAUUUUAUUUAUUUAUUUUUAUGUGGUGCUGUGGAUUGAACCCAGGGCCUUGCAUGAGCUAGUCGAGCGCUCUACCGCUGAGCCACAACCUUAGUCCUGAAACAGACACUUCUUUUUUUUUUUUUAUACAUCCCAGCCUUUGUUUAUCAUUAUUAAUUUUUUUUAUCUGUCAUUGAUUUUAUUUUUUUAAAUACACGACAGCAGUGGAAUGUUUUCUAUAGUUACUAUGAUUUUUUAAUAUCUGAGGGAAGUCUUGGAAUACAUGGAAAUGUGUCUUCCUCUCAUAUCUGCCCCAUGAAAAUUCUUCAUUAUUACCUUGCAUUUUUUUUUUGAUGGUGCUGGGGAUUGAACCCAGGGACUUGUGCAUGCAAGGCAAGCACUCUGCCAACUGACUAUAUCCUCAGCUCCCACCUUGCACUCUUGACUGUGUAGUGUGGCCUCAGCCAAUUUUUGGUCCACCUGCUCUUGCUGAAUAUACCAGGUGAGGUGAUCUGCUACAAGCUCAGAGAUAUGUAUAGACCCUUCCUGGCCUCAGGCCAUCUUCCAAGUGUUCCUGUCUCCUUUCCUCAUAUAAUCUGUAUUAAUUUUCCAGCCACCUGCUAUGCUUUUGAACUCGCAUUCCUUAUUUGAAAUUCUCCCUUAUACUUUCACACUCAUAGUGUCUCACUUCUGUAUCUUAAAAGCAUCCUUACUCUUGUUUAGUUCUUCCAAUCUGAUAUAUUCUGUUUAAAUUCUGCAUUAUCAUUUCUGAAUUGAAGCUAAUAUUUAACUUGCAUGUUUGCUGUGAAGAUUAGUGGUAAAU
RNAcentral lists this long non-coding RNA (1287 nucleotides) under Marmota monax (woodchuck). The record is from RNAcentral. Lineage: Eukaryota; Metazoa; Chordata; Mammalia; Rodentia; Sciuridae.